AAUAUGCAGAGAAUAUAAACCCUGAGUAAAAACGCACACGCUUGGAUCACGUGCACACAGUUAAAGAUGAUGUGUAGUCAUACAUGUCCACGUAGCUUUAUUUCUGUGGCGACGCAACCACAAACAGACACAGUUAAAGGUGAUUUACAUGAAGUCAGUCUGUUAUUCAAAGUUUGAGUGAAUUGUACAGCGUGUAACUUGUCAUUGGCCAGAAUAACAGGGUGUAAAAUCAACCUCUGAAGGAAGAUAAGACACACCUCUGCCAUGCCACCAGGUUUUUGCAGCCCUAGAGAUCGGCACCACUGAACAAUUUCUAUUUGUGAGCUGUGCUGAAAUAUCAGGGGGCUGAGGCUGAAUCAUCACUCCACCAAUCAAAUCAUUUGAGUUCCCCUUGACACUGGACACAUGGAACAUUUCUAUUCCUCUCCUGCUCAGCUCACAUCCACCUGAGGACACAUUCACCUGACUUUCUGAAUCAGACAUCUUGUUUUUUCAUCACUUGCCUUCAUACUGAGUUACGAACAUAUUGAGAAAAUGGAAGACCACAGGCUCAGUUCAAGUUAAGGCUCGAAGUGGCAGACCAAGAAAAAUCUCAGAUAGACGGAAGCGACGAAUGGUGAGAACAGUCAGAGUCAACCCACAGACCAGCACCAAAGACCUACAACAUCAUCUUGCAGCAGAUGGAGUCACUGUGCAUCGUUCAACCAUUCGGCGCACUUUACACAAGGAGAUGCUGUUUGCGAGAGUGAUGCAG
Molecule: long non-coding RNA, 754 nt
Organism: Oreochromis niloticus (Nile tilapia)
Lineage: Eukaryota; Metazoa; Chordata; Actinopteri; Cichliformes; Cichlidae
Exons: 3
Source: RefSeq, a predicted model, not a curated record